AUUGAACGCUGGCGGCAUGCCUUACACAUGCAAGUCGAACGGUAACAGGUCUUCGGAUGCUGACGAGUGGCGAACGGGUGAGUAAUACAUCGGAACGUGCCCGAUCGUGGGGGAUAACGAGGCGAAAGCUUUGCUAAUACCGCAUACGAUCUACGGAUGAAAGCGGGGGAUCUUCGGACCUCGCGCAGACGGAGCGGCCGAUGGCAGAUUAGGUAGUUGGUGGGAUAAAAGCUUACCAAGCCGACGAUCUGUAGCUGGUCUGAGAGGAUGAUCAGCCACACUGGGACUGAGACACGGCCCAGACUCCUACGGGAGGCAGCAGUGGGGAAUUUUGGACAAUGGGCGAAAGCCUGAUCCAGCCAUGCCGCGUGCAGGAUGAAGGCCUUCGGGUUGUAAACUGCUUUUGUACGGAACGAAAAGCCUCUUUCUAAUAAAGAGGGGUCAUGACGGUACCGUAAGAAUAAGCACCGGCUAACUACGUG
This 482-nucleotide ribosomal RNA is filed under the name uncultured bacterium. RNAcentral describes it as "partial 16S ribosomal RNA". It matches the Rfam family "Bacterial small subunit ribosomal RNA", at positions 30 to 507 of the family's 1533-position model. The record is from RNAcentral.